UCAAGCUACUAAGGGCAUACGGUGGAUGCCUAGGCGCCAAGAGCCGAAGAAGGACGCGGUAAGCUGCGAAAAGCCACGGGGAACUGCAAGCAAGUAUUGAUCCGUGGAUAUCCGAAUGGGGAAACCCGGCCAUCGUCAUGGAUGGUCACCCGCAAGGGAGGGAACCUGGGGAACUGAAACAUCUAAGUACCCGGAGGAAGAGAAAUCAAACGAGAUGCCCACAGUAGCGGCGAGCGAAGAGGGCAGAGCCCAAACCGAGAAGCUCCGGCUUUUCGGGGUUGAGGACCGGCAGAAUCGAAGUCAGGCCUAGUUGAAUUACCUGGAAAGGUAAGCGAGAGAGGGUAAAAGCCCCGUAGACGAAAGGCAGAGCAGAGAGGCCGAGAUCCAGAGUACCACGAAGCACGAGGAAUUUUGUGGGAAGCAGGGGGGACCACCCUCCAAGGCUAAAAACUACUUGGCGACCGAUAGCGCAUAGUACCGUGAGGGAAAGGUGAAAAGAACCCCGGGAGGGGAGUGAAAUAGUACCUGAAACCGUAUGUCUACAAGCAGUCGAAGCGAAAGCGACGGCGUGCCUAUUGAAGAAUGAACCAACGAGUUAUCUGCACUAGCGAGGUUAAGUGGAAGACACGGAGCCGCAGCGAAAGCGAGUCUUAAGAGGGCGCUAGUUAGUGUAGGUAGACCCGAAACCGCAGUGAUCUACCCAUGUCCAGGUUGAAGCGCAGGUAAAAUUGCGUGGAGGACCGAACCGGUGAGCGUUGAAAAGCUUUCGGAUGAGAUGUGGGUAGGGGUGAAAUUCCAAUCGAACGCGGAGAUAGCUGGUUCUCCCCGAAAUAGCUUUAGGGCUAGCCUGAGGUAGUAAGUAUAGGCGGUAGAGCACUGAUCGGGCUAGGGGCCGUAAAGGUUACCGAACCCUGUCAAACUCCGAAUGGAUAUACUGUAGAGCCUUGGAGUCAGACUACGAGUGAUAAGAUCCGUGGUCAAAAGGGAAACAGCCCAGACCACCAGCUAAGGUCCCCAAUGUCGUACUAAGUGGAAAAGGAUGUGGGGUUUCAUAAACAACCAGGAUGUUGGCUCAGAAGCAGCCACCAUUUAAAGAGUGCGUAAUAGCUCACUGGUCGAGAGACCCUGCGCCGAAGAUUCCCGGGGCUAAAGUACGAAACCGAAGCUGUGGCUGUAUACGUAAAGUAUACGGGGUAGGGGAGCGUUCCCAUAGGGUAGAAGUCGAACUGGAAGGUUCGGUGGACUUGUGGGAAGUGAGAAUGUUGGUAUGAGUAGCGAAAAGAAAGGUGAGAAUCCUUUCCACCGAAAGCAUAAGGAUUCCUGAGCAACGAUCGUCGUCUCAGGGUAAGUCGGGACCUAAUCCGAGGCAGAGAGCGUAGGAGAUGGACAACUGGUUGAUAUUCCAGUACCGGUAGUAAUUGUUUGAGCAAUGGAGUGACACAGAAGGGCAGGCAAGCAUGCGAAUGGAAGAGCAUGUGUAAGCGUGUAGGGUGGUGCAUAGGCAAAUCCGUGCACUGAAAGCCUGAGGCGUGAUGCGGAGUGAGCAGAGAUGCGAGCGAAGUUGUUGACCCCACACUGUCGAGAAAAGCUUCUAGUGAGAGAGCUACCGCCCGUACCGUAAACCGACACAGGUAUGCGGGGAGAGAAUCCUAAGGUGCGCGGGAGAACCCUCGUUAAGGAACUCGGCAAAAUGUACCCGUAACUUCGGGAUAAGGGUAGCCACUGUUGUGAAGUCCCAUGCGGAUGGAGCAUAGAGUGGUCGCAGAGAAGAGGCCCAAGCGACUGUUUACCAUAAACACAGGUGCCUGCUAAAGCGAAAGCUGACGUAUAGGUGCUGACACCUGCCCAGUGCCGGAAGGUUAAGGAAGGAUGUUCGGAUUAGUCCAAAGCAUUCGACUGAAGCCCCGGUGAACGGCGGCCGUAACUAUAACGGUCCUAAGGUAGCGAAAUUCCUUGUCGGGUAAGUUCCGACCCGCACGAAAGGUGUAACGAUUUGGGCACUGUCUCAACGAGGGACCCGGUGAAAUUGAAAUACCUGUGAAGAUGCAGGUUACCCGCG
This 2059-nucleotide ribosomal RNA is filed under the name human gut metagenome. RNAcentral's name for it is "bacterial LSU rRNA". It matches the Rfam family "Bacterial large subunit ribosomal RNA", at positions 3 to 2074 of the family's 2925-position model. The record is from RNAcentral.